Molecule: ribosomal RNA, 507 nt
Filed under: uncultured bacterium
Lineage: Bacteria
Description: bacterial SSU rRNA
Rfam family: Bacterial small subunit ribosomal RNA
Source: RNAcentral
GGCUCAGGAUGAACGCUAGCGGCAGGCUUAACACAUGCGAAGUCGAGGGGCAUCGGGAGUAGCAAUACUUGCCGGCGACCGGCGCAAGGGUGCGUAACGCGUGAGCAACAUGCCCGUAUCAGGGGGAUAAUCCAUGGAAACGUGGUCUAAUACCCCAUAGUAAUUAUGUAAGGCAUCUUAUAUAAUUUAAAGCUUUGGUGGAUACGGAUUGGCUCGCGUGACAUUAGCUGGAUGGUAAGGUAACGGCUUACCAUGGCUACGAUGUCUAGGGGUUCUGAGACGGAAGGUCCCCCCACACUGGAACUGAGACACGGUCCAGACUCCUACGGGAGGCAGCAGUGAGGAAUAUUGGACAAUGGAUGGAAAUCUGAUCCAGCCAUGCCGCGUGCAGGAAAAGACGGCCCUAUGGGUUGUAAACUGCUUUUGUAUGGGAGCAAUAAGGGCUACGUGUAGUCCGAUGAGAGUACCAUACGAAUAAGCACCGGCUAACUCCGUGCCAGCCGCAGC